AUUGAACGCUGGCGGCAGGCCUAACACAUGCAAGUCGAGCGGAUGAAGGGAGCUUGCUCCUGGAUUCAGCGGCGGACGGGUGAGUAAUGCCUAGGAAUCUGCCUGGUAGUGGGGGAUAACGUCCGGAAACGGGCGCUAAUACCGCAUACGUCCUGAGGGAGAAAGUGGGGGAUCUUCGGACCUCACGCUAUCAGAUGAGCCUAGGUCGGAUUAGCUAGUUGGUGGGGUAAAGGCCUACCAAGGCGACGAUCCGUAACUGGUCUGAGAGGAUGAUCAGUCACACUGGAACUGAGAGACGGGCCAGACUCCUACGGGAGGCAGCAGUGGGGAAUAUUGGACGAUAGGCGAAAGCCUGAUCCAGCCAUGCCGCGUGUGUGAAGAAGGUCUUCGGAUUGUAAAGCACUUUAAGUUGGGAGGAAGGGCAGUAAGUUAAUACCUUGCUGUUUUGACGUUACCAACAGAAUAAGCACCGGCUAACUUCGUG
RNAcentral lists this ribosomal RNA (484 nucleotides) under uncultured bacterium. Its description in RNAcentral is "partial 16S ribosomal RNA". It matches the Rfam family "Bacterial small subunit ribosomal RNA", at positions 30 to 507 of the family's 1533-position model. The record is from RNAcentral.